UUUCGUACGUAGCAGAGCAGCUCCCUC
Molecule: non-coding RNA, 27 nt
Filed under: Gallus gallus (chicken)
Lineage: Eukaryota; Metazoa; Chordata; Aves; Galliformes; Phasianidae
Also listed under: 5 other names
Source: RNAcentral